GAAGACAAAUAAUUGGAUGUGGUAUAAUGUGAACAAUGUAUGUGAUAUCAUCACAGCAUGCCGUACAGAGACAGUGGAGCAGGGUGUAGUGCCAGGUGACACUUCUAGUUACACUUGGCAAUGUUUAGAACACCUAUGGAGAAUGAACGGAGCAGUGGUCAUGCAAGAUGAGGAAUAUUUACAUACAGUGCAGAUGUGUCCCAGAUGGGAAAACUCCUUCACAUAAAGAUGACUGAAGAGGCAGAGCUGAAGUGACAGGCCAGCAGCCUGAACCAAUGAUGAGACAGGAGAUGGAUUUCAGACUCCACACUGUAGUCGCAGAUCACUGCACUGCCCUAAUGGGAGUAAACUAAAAAGAUCUGAAGAAAAUAAAUUGGUUAUCUAGAAAGGAGAAUGAGAACAUACCAUUUUGUUGUUUAUUUCAUGGAAAUGAAUCUCACAGACUUUCUCCACAACAUCUUCAUUUUCAAAGGUUACAAA
Hyla sarda is the source of this 480-nucleotide long non-coding RNA. RefSeq lists it as uncharacterized. The record is from RefSeq and is a predicted model, not a curated record. The transcript is spliced from 4 exons. NCBI's taxonomy places the organism in Eukaryota, Metazoa, Chordata, Amphibia, Anura, Hylidae.